AUUGAACGCUGGCGGCAUGCUUUACACAUGCAAGUCGAACGGCAGCGCGGGCUUCGGCCUGGCGGCGAGUGGCGAACGGGUGAGUAAUGCAUCGGAACGUGCCCAGUAGUGGGGGAUAGCCCGGCGAAAGCCGGAUUAAUACCGCAUACGACCUGAGGGUGAAAGCGGGGGACCGAAAGGCCUCGCGCUAUUGGAGCGUCCGAUGUCGGAUUAGCUAGUUGGUGGGGUAAAGGCUUACCAAGGCGACGAUCCGUAGCUGGUCUGAGAGGACGACCAGCCACACUGGAACUGAGACACGGCCCAGACUCCUACGGGAGGCAGCAGUGGGGAAUUUUGGACAAUGGGGGCAACCCUGAUCCAGCCAUGCCGCGUGCGGGAAGAAGGCCUUCGGGUUGUAAACCGCUUUUGUUCGGGAAGAAAUCCUCUGGGCUAAUACCCCGGGGGGAUGACGGUACCGGAAGAAUAAGCACCGGCUAACUACGUG
This 484-nucleotide ribosomal RNA is filed under the name uncultured bacterium. RNAcentral describes it as "partial 16S ribosomal RNA". It matches the Rfam family "Bacterial small subunit ribosomal RNA", at positions 29 to 507 of the family's 1533-position model. The record is from RNAcentral.